This 116-nucleotide ribosomal RNA is filed under the name Anolis carolinensis (green anole). Lineage: Eukaryota; Metazoa; Chordata; Lepidosauria; Squamata; Anolidae. The record is from RNAcentral.
ACCUGACUAAAUACCCUAAAGGCACCAGAUUCUGUCCGAUCUUGGAAGCUAAAUAGGGUCAGCCUUGGUUAGUACUUGGAUGGGAGACCACCAACGAAUACCAGUUGCUAUAGGUU